Molecule: long non-coding RNA, 1134 nt
Filed under: Phasianus colchicus (ring-necked pheasant)
Lineage: Eukaryota; Metazoa; Chordata; Aves; Galliformes; Phasianidae
Description: lncRNA (ENSPCLG00000011655.1)
Source: RNAcentral
CAAAAUGAACAUCCGGAGACUUGGCAGUAAUUGGAUCACGGAGUGCAAGCUCCUGUGAUUAGAUCAGGAGUAUUCUGUCAGGAUGACAGUAAAUCAAAAGAAAUAAUCAGGCAGCUAGGAAAGGGAGAAGUUCUUCAUUUAAACUUCGUUAAUUUCCUGUCUGCGUGGCCGAGCCUACAAAAUACACACUUAAAGAUGCAGUGAGUUACUUCUAGUGAGCACAGGCUGCUGCUGCAGCAAGAAAAUCCUCCAUAAUCCGCCCCAAGUGAAGAAGCAAAGUUUGUGCUCCAAUUUUCUCCGAUAUGCCUUGUCUAAAGAAAAUAUUUGGCUACCUGCUGUAUUUUCUGGUUGGGUUGGCAGAUUGCUGCUCCACUUUCCAGGGCUCCUGGGUCAGCUGAGGUCCCCACUGCUGGAUCAAGCAGUGCCAUCCCAAGGCGAGAAGCCCAGAGAGGGUGAGAAGGAGAUGAUGGUCGUAAUGAUGACCAUAUGGACAGCUGAUGUGAGGAGCUAGGUGGAGAUGCGGUCGUAUUAUCUUUAUACUGGCUAAUCUAAGGUUGCUCAGGAAUGUUUGAGAGGUCUCCAGCUUGUGUUCUGCUAGGUAGAAGGCUUUCAGCUUAAUGAUUGGGAGUUUUCUCACAGAACCAUAGAAUGGUUUGAGCUGGAAGGGAUCCUUCAAGGCCAUCUGUCCCACUCCCUGCACUGAGCAGGGACACCCACAGCUCCAUCAGUGCUCACAGCCCAUCCAGCCUGACCUUGGCUGUCUGCAGGGAUGGGACAUCACACCUCUCUGUGCAACAUGUUCCAAAACCUAUUUUGUCUACCAAUAAAGCCACACUCUUCCUUCAUGAAAAGGAUUUUACUAGCAAGCACUGGGCAUCCACAGCCCUGCUUGGCUGAAGCUGAGGUCAAUUCUUGCCAACAAUCACUUCUCUGAUGGCACUGUUCAGGGCACAGAUGAGGAAACCAGAGGGAGUGACAUUACUAAGCAAGGGAGAAGGUUGGGAAGACAGAGAGGACUGCAUACAUCUUCAGUGCUCACUUCUCUGUAGACCUUCAUGGCAACUUAACAGCACCUUACAAAGUCAGUCAAGACCCAUAGCCUUUAUGGUUCUACGAUUCUACGAUCAGCAAUAG